Molecule: unclassified non-coding RNA, 1746 nt
Filed under: Hevea brasiliensis (rubber tree)
Lineage: Eukaryota; Viridiplantae; Streptophyta; Magnoliopsida; Malpighiales; Euphorbiaceae
Source: RNAcentral
AAAAUUGUCAAUAAAUAUAUUGAGAUAAUGAGAUAAACCUCAUCCUCGUUCCCUGUCUCUCUGUCUCCUGUAAAACUCCUCUUUUUUCUUUCCAUUCUCUGCACAAAAUCAAGAGAUGAAAAUGGCGACAAUUUCAUCUCUAACAUCGUCAAUACCCACAACCUCAAAGUUGACUCUUUUAACAAACCCAUCAAAACCCACUUUCCAAAUCCUCAAGCCAAUAACCCCUUCUAAUAAUUUCCCCAAACUCACACAUUUGCAUAUAGUUUUGAAACACAAAGUCCCAAAAAGGUUCUUCGCAGUAGCAGAAGAAACAGCAUCGGUUGCUCCAGUUGACCCUUCUUCAGAGGCCGCCCGGAGGCUGUACAUUGGUAACAUUCCAAGGACUGUGAACAACGAGGUGCUUAAAAAGAUUGUUGAAGAACAUGGUGCUGUUGAAAAAGCUGAGGUUAUGUAUGAUAAGUACUCCGGUAGGAGCCGUCGAUUUGCAUUCGUUACAAUGAAAACUGUUGAAGAUGCAAAUGCUGCAAUCGAGAAACUGAAUGGCACAGAAAUUGGAGGACGCGAGAUUAAAGUGAACAUUACAGAGAAACCUUUGCCAUCUAUCGAUUUGUCUCUUCUUCAGGUUGAGGAAUCUCAAUUCAUUGACAGUCCUCAUAAAGUUUAUGUUGGAAAUCUUGCUAAAACAGUAACUACAGAAAUGCUCAAGAACUUCUUUUCUGAGAAGGGACAGGUUCUUAGUGCAAAAGUUUCUCGAGUUCCUGGGACCUCAAAAUCCAGUGGGUAUGGGUUUGUUACAUUCUCUUCGGAUGAGGACGUAGAAGCUGCCAUCUCAUCUUUUAACAAUUCUGUAAGUUUUUGCUGUCCCUGCAGAUGUUAAAUGGACGAUUAAAUUCCUUGAAGCGCAAAAAUCUGUACACAUGCACUCAUAUGCAGUUUGUUGUAGUACACUUACAGUCAUGCUUUCUUGUUUUUGCCGUGUUGGUCUGUGUAUUCUAGAAUCUGGAUUCAUGCAUGCUUCUCACUUUCACCUUGCUAAUAUUGUCAACCACCCCCUGGCCUGUCUAUCCGUCCACCCAUCCAUCCAUCUCACUGACUCAUACAUUUUGUCUUUUGCUUUCUAUCAAAUUGCCACUUGUGUUUUUCUUCCAUAAUGUGCAUUUUACUUGGAGCAUUUAUCUGAAUAAGUUGCAUUGUAAGAGUUUCCACUACUGGCCAUUCACACAUGCAGAUAUUUACUCACUUGUUAUCUAUUUUGAUCAUUGUCCGGCUAUUUCAUUUCUCUGAUGCUAAAUUCUCAUUGCAGUUAUUGGAAGGCCAACAAAUUCGCGUAAACAAGGCCUAGUGUAGUUUGUAUCACCCUGGAUAUGGAGACUAGAGUACUUUGUGUCCAUCACAUUGAAAUUUAGGGCAGUCUUUUGCUAAUCAUUGCUUUAGUCAUGUACAUUUCUCUACUGGACGUUAUCAUAUUUUCUGUUUGUGUCAUAGUUUCGUAAUUGUCUUCGGUCAGAGUUCACUGCUUGAAAGCAAAUUUAUGCUUUAGAUAUUAGAGUUCGAGCUUGAGAACUGGCUCUUCUGUUUAUGAUGUUGCUUCAAAAUGGGGAUUACACAAUUCAAAGUCUAGCUAAGCUGAGCCUGUUAGUGUGGAUAUGUGAGGUUUGAUUAGUUGAAUUGGGCUUCAUGAACAUGCCUGAUAUAUAUACAAGCUAACUUUCAUAUAUAAUCGAGUCCAGUUUUCUGGUCCGA